GGUGCGGCCGUUGCGGUCCCGCUUUGCGGCGGGCACUGCAAGCGUCGCGCCUUCUUCUUUCUGGGUGGGCAGUGUUCUCUUUACUGAGUGCGCUGCUCCGGCCAGGAUCUUUUACUUUGAAAAAAUUAGAGUGUUUAAAGCAGGCAAUGUCGCUUGAAUACAUUAGCAUGGAAUAAUGGAAUAGGACUUUGGUUCUAUUUUGUUGGUUUCUAGGACCGAGGUA
This 223-nucleotide ribosomal RNA is filed under the name uncultured fungus. RNAcentral describes it as "partial small subunit ribosomal RNA". The stretch from base 103 to 223 matches the Rfam family "Eukaryotic small subunit ribosomal RNA", at positions 743 to 864 of the family's 1831-position model. Lineage: Eukaryota; Fungi. The record is from RNAcentral.